AUUGAACGCUGGCGGCAGGCCUAACACAUGCAAGUCGAGCGGAUGAAGGGAGCUUGCUCCUGGAUUCAGCGGCGGACGGGUGAGUAAUGCCUAGGAAUCUGCCUGGUAGUGGGGGAUAACGUCCGGAAACGGGCGCUAAUACUGCAUACGUCCUGAGGGAGAAAGUGGGGGAUCUUCGGACCUCACGCUAUCAGAUGAGCCUAGGUCGGAUUAGCUAGUUGGUGGGGUAAAGGCCUACUAAGGCGACGAUCCGUAACUGGUCUGAGUGGAUGAUCAGUCACACUGGAACUGAGACACGGUCCAGACUCCUACGGGAGGCAGCAGUGGGGAAUAUUGGACAAUGGGCGAAAGCCUGAUCCAGCCAUGCCGCGUGUGUGAAGAAGGUCUUCGGAUUGUAAAGCACUUUAAGUUGGGAGGAAGGGCAGUAAGUUAAUACCUUGCUGUUUUGACGUUACCAACAGAAUAAGCACCGGCUAACUUCGUG
RNAcentral lists this ribosomal RNA (484 nucleotides) under uncultured bacterium. RNAcentral's name for it is "partial 16S ribosomal RNA". It matches the Rfam family "Bacterial small subunit ribosomal RNA", at positions 30 to 507 of the family's 1533-position model. The record is from RNAcentral.